GACGAACGCUGGCGGCGUGCUUAACACAUGCAAGUCGAACGGUAAGGCCCUUCGGGGUACGCGAGUGGCGAACGGGUGAGUAACACGUGGGUGAUCUGCCCUGCACUUCGGGAUAAGCCUGGGAAACUGGGUCUAAUACCGGAUAGGACUCCGGACUGCAUGGUCUGGGGUGGAAAGCUUUUGCGGUGUGGGAUGGGCCCGCGGCCUAUCAGUUUGUUGGUGGGGUGAUGGCCUACCAAGGCGACGACGGGUAGCCGGCCUGAGAGGGUGACCGGCCACACUGGGACUGAGAUACGGCCCAGACUCCUACGGGAGGCAGCAGUGGGGAAUAUUGCACGAUGGGCGCAAGCCUGAUGCAGCGACGCCGCGUGAGGGAUGACGGCCUUCGGGUUGUAAACCUCUUUCAGCAUCGACGAAGCGAAAGUGACGGUAGGUGCAGAAGAAGGACCGGCCAACUACGUGCCAGCAGCCGCGGUAA
This 478-nucleotide ribosomal RNA is filed under the name uncultured bacterium. Its description in RNAcentral is "partial 16S ribosomal RNA". It matches the Rfam family "Bacterial small subunit ribosomal RNA", at positions 28 to 523 of the family's 1533-position model. The record is from RNAcentral.